This 232-nucleotide ribosomal RNA is filed under the name uncultured bacterium. RNAcentral describes it as "partial 16S ribosomal RNA". It matches the Rfam family "Bacterial small subunit ribosomal RNA", at positions 118 to 347 of the family's 1533-position model. The record is from RNAcentral.
UGAGCAACCUACCGAACUGUGGGGGAUAGCCGGCCUAACGGCCGAGUAAUACCGCAUACGCUCUCAGAGAGGCAUUUCUUUGAGAGGAAACCUACGGGACAGAUCGAGGGGCUCGCGGCCUAUCAGCUAGUUGGCGAGGUAACGGCUCACCAAGGCAACGACGGGUAGCCGGCCUGAGAGGGUGACCGGCCACACUGGGACUGAGACACGGCCCAGACUCCUACGGGAGCAG